This 268-nucleotide ribosomal RNA is filed under the name uncultured bacterium. RNAcentral's name for it is "partial 16S ribosomal RNA". It matches the Rfam family "Bacterial small subunit ribosomal RNA", at positions 507 to 774 of the family's 1533-position model. The record is from RNAcentral.
GCCAGCAGCCGCGGUAAUACGGGGGGUGCAAGCGUUAUCCGGAUUCACUGGGUUUAAAGGGUGCGUAGGCGGAUAUGUAAGUCAGUGGUGAAAUCAACGGGCUCAACCUGUUAAAUGCCAUUGAUACUGUGUAUCUUGAAUAUGCGAGAGGUAGGCGGAAUUUUGCAUGUAGCGGUGAAAUGCUUAGAUAUGCUACGGAACACCGAUUGCGAAGGCAGCUUACUAUUUCGUAAUUGACGCUGAGGCACGAAAGCGUGGGUAGCGAACA